UCCUCCAUUCAUGCCUCAGAGGUUGGGAC
This 29-nucleotide non-coding RNA is filed under the name Homo sapiens (human). Lineage: Eukaryota; Metazoa; Chordata; Mammalia; Primates; Hominidae. The record is from RNAcentral.